UGCUAGUCGAACGACCCGGACUAUGGCGGGAAGUGGCAGACUGCUCAGUCAACACGUAGCUAACCUACCCUUGGGACGGGUAAAACCCCGGGAAACUGAGGUUAAUACCCGAUAGGUGUGGAAUCCUGGAAUGGUACCACGCCCAAAUGUAAAUGCAUCCAUGUUUGCGUGCACGCCCGAGGAUGGGGCUGCGGCCGAUCAGGCAGUUGGUGAGGUAACGGCUCACCAAACCUUUGACCGGUACGGGCCAUGAGAGUGGUAGCCCGGAGAUGGGCACUGAGACAAGGGCCCAGGCCCUACGGGGCGCAGCAGGCGCGAAACCUCCACAAUUCACGAAAGUGAGAUGGGGUUACCUCGAGUGCCGCCUGAAGAAGGCGGCUUUUCCAUUGUGUAAUGAGCCGUGGGAAUAAGAGGGGGGCAAGACUGGUGUCAGCCGCCGCGGUAACACCAGCCCCCCGAGUGGUGGGGAUGUUUAUUUGGCCUAAAACGUCCGUAGCCAGCUAGGUAAAUCUCUCGUUAAAUCCAGCGUCCUAAGCGUUGGGCUGCGAGAGAGACUGCCAAGCUAGAGGGUGGGAGAGGUCAGCGGUAUUUCUGGGGUAGGGGCGAAAUCCAUUGAUCCCAGGAGGACCACC
This 632-nucleotide ribosomal RNA is filed under the name uncultured archaeon. RNAcentral describes it as "bacterial SSU rRNA". It matches the Rfam family "Archaeal small subunit ribosomal RNA", at positions 52 to 661 of the family's 1478-position model. The record is from RNAcentral.